Molecule: ribosomal RNA, 429 nt
Filed under: uncultured bacterium
Lineage: Bacteria
Description: bacterial SSU rRNA
Rfam family: Bacterial small subunit ribosomal RNA
Source: RNAcentral
UAGGGAAUAUUGCACAAUGGGGGAAACCCUGAUGCAGCAACGCCGCGUGAGUGAAGAAGGCCCUUGGGUUGUAAAGCUCUUUAGCGAGGGAAGAAGGUAGAUACGGUGAACAAUCGUGUUUGCUGACGGUACCUCGAGAAUAAGCACCGGCUAAUUUCGUGCCAGCAGCCGCGGUAAUACGAAAGGUGCAAGCGUUACUCGGAAUCACUGGGCGUAAAGCGCACGUAGGCGGACUCGUAGGUCAGUUGUGAAAUACCUGGGCUCAACCCGGGAACUGCAGCUGAAACCGCUUGUCUUGAAUACCUGAGAGGGUGGGGGAAUACCUGGUGGAGAAGUGAAAUUCGUAGAGAUCAGGUGGAACACCGGAGGCGAAGGCGCCUGCCUGGCAGUGUAUUGACGCUGAGGUGCGAAAGUGCGGGGAGCAAACAG